UAUAAGAUACCUGCAUUUUGUGGACCAGAGUCCUGCUCUGAGCAGUGUCCACCCAAUAAUAAUGCCCAAGACUAUACAAGCCCUGAAAGAGAGGCCUGCAGCCUAACUCUCGGCUCAGGAAAUCCCUCCAAGCAGACUUCUUUUCCCUAAAGUUGCGCCUCACCUCACGUGGCUCAUGAACUUCUGCAGAGAUGAAUUUUCUCCAUGCCGUAGCUCUGACUCUACUCUCUGGGUUACUGUUCGCUUGUCCAGCACCAUUUAACAGGAGAUUUGCCUCUGGAAUAUUCCUGAGGAAUAUCUCUAGGAAAUCGGAUAAGCAGAGUUCCUGUACUUUGAGAAAAAGUCGCUGUGGGGAACUGAAGUGUCUUUUUAAAGAAGAGCGAGGGUUAGAAUAUGAUGUGAAGGGUCUCCCUUGCUAAGGUCACCAUGAGGAACCGAGGACCAGGACAACCCAUUAGACUCACAGAGGUUGAGAGCUGGAGGAAUAGAAAGAGAUGUCAUUCAGCAGCUACGAUAGUGUGUGUCCCCACUUUUCAGUUUCCUGGAGGGGAAUAAGCAGAAUUCAAUGAGGCCAUCGUGGGGAUGUUCCCCUCUGAAUAGUCAGGAUGGCGGAUUCUCCAGCCAACUCUUCCUUUCCCCCACAGAGCGCACGGUCUUGGAGGAGUACAUCAGGGAAUGCUUCUCUCUCACGCAUCUUCCAGCAUGUGGCCAGACCAGCAGGGGCCAUUAUAUGGCAAGGACAUCCAUUCAAAUCAAGCUGAGAGCCUUAGUGUGACUCAAGGACUCUUGUCGGGGCCCCAGGGAAACUCAAGGAUCUGAACAACUCACUCUUCAGCAGAUUCGGACAUUGGCUCCAAUGUUGGAAGAAGGUUUUUCUAAUGGAACAAGCCCCUAUUUCUAGUGACAUUGGUUUAUCUCCUUAAACCAGUCUUUCAUCAGGAAAAAAAUAUGGUGUUUUUAAAGAGGUCGAACAUUUGCCUGUUUUGGACAUCUUAAUAUCAGGCAAUCAAAGGUCAUUUUAGUGUAAUUAUUAAGGUUUAUUUCCUCAUCCGAACAAAAACAUGGAUUUGUUAUUAAACCCAGACCAACAUUCAUUUAACCUGUCUCUUUUCCAUCUUAGUUAUCAUUUAUUUUGGAAAGAGCAAAUAUGUGGUUACUUAAAAAUAAUAUACCAACCAAAUGUUAAGAGGGACUGGGUUUUUGUUUGCUUUCUUAACCUUUUGCGUGUAUUUAUCACAUAUGAAGAAUGAAAGUCAAUCCUGUAGUACUUACUAUGUGCCACUGUUCUAAGUGCUUUACAUGUGUCAAUUAUCUAAUCAUCACAAUACUCUAUGAGGUAUUAUUAGCCUCCUUUUCCAAAGAGAGAAUAUUAACGACAUAAACAGGGUUCUGAGUCCAUGGUCGUUUCUCAGCCUUCGGAGGUUAUGGCCGGGCCUCAGCUUCCUGAUGACCGGUUCAUUUGCAGAGUUGACAGUGACUUGUUUUAACACAUAGUUGGUAUGGUUCUUCCUCUUCCUGUUUCCUCCCUCUGACUUCUCCACAUCUGCCCUGAGAACUGCGCCACUUACAACAGCUUACUUGAGACUCCCUUAGUUAUUACGUUUGGUAACUUUACUUUCCUAUUCCUGCUUUUAUUUUUAUCCUGUUAAUUUCGUAUUCCAACUCCACCAGGAGUUAAGGCAAGACAAAAGGAGCAGGAAAGGACAACAGAAGAGGUGCUCUGAAAUCGCCUGGUUUAAAGCUUCAUACUCAGAGAACGUGGGGAAAGUAUACUGAAUAACUCAAUUGAAACAAAUAGAUAGUUGGUGAAAUGUUUUGCUAUUACUUUACUUUCUCCUUGUUUUUUUUUUUUUUUCUCAAUUGGUUUUACUAUUUUAUCAUAUUGUCUCCUGAAGACUCAAACCAUGACUGUUUUUAAUCACUUUGCUGGACCACGGAAAGUGUGUACAGUAGACCAAACAAGUUUUCUAUUAGAUUUUACACAUUGGUUUUUCCCAAAAGUCGUCACUGACAAGGCCUUCCCACAAGUAUCUAUUCCCUUCUUUGAACUCUCUUGGCACUCACACACACAGCCAGUAUCUCACCACCAAGCCCCUGUUUAUUAUCUUGGCUCGGAAUUGUUCUCUAUUCAUUUAAUUUACAUACAUCUUGGCUUCAGAACCAGGUUCCCAAAAAAGGGCUAUUCUUUUUCUUUGCAGAUUCUGCAGAGCCUGAUUUUGUAGGCCAGAUGAAUUAAUUUGUAGAGCUGAAUCAGGGAGAGCGCUCUAUGUAAAUGGCAUAUAUCCCUGAAGUCUUAUUGCUGAGCACAAGAGCACUGGAUUGAUGGGGACAGGGCCACAGAGAUGAAGUGUCACAGCGAGGGUAGGAGGAAAGUUGGUCUACCUUGGGCCAGACUUGCACGUGGGGGAAGAUAAUCCUAGGUGAGGACAGGAGCCAGGGUGGCUGCAAAGAUGAGAGCCAGAGUCCAGCUUGAGCCCUCUGUGGUUGUGAGACCACAGGAGGAAGACUGUCCAGAAUUUUGGAAGAUUCUAAAGUUACAGACCAGAAGUAAGAUUGGGUUUUCUCUAAACAAAAAAAGAGACAUUCUCUGUGACAUUUGUGGAGAAGAGUCCAGGAGAAACAUCUACACUGAGAAUGGAAAGCAAACCCCUAAGACACUAGAGGUGAAGAUGUUCAAAGACAAGCAUUGAUGUGGCUGAGUGACUUGCCAGGAAUCUUUGAUUGGACCAUUCUCACAACACUGAGCCCAGAAUCUCAUUUUUGUGGUUCAACAGCUCUCCAUCCAUUCUCUGCAGAUGGCCCUCCUCACCGUCAGCGUGUGUUUUGACCAUUCGUUCUUCAGUCUUUGGAAGCUCUGAGAAGUAUUGUUUAAGGAGGAUGGAUUUCUGCUGUGAGAGCAGAGUCGCACCAUGUGGACUCCCGAGCUUGGGAGAGGGCACCGUUGCAAUGAUGGCUACUCAGCG
Equus caballus (horse) is the source of this 2963-nucleotide long non-coding RNA. The record is from Ensembl. Lineage: Eukaryota; Metazoa; Chordata; Mammalia; Perissodactyla; Equidae.